UGCCAGCCGCCGCGGUAAUACGGAGGGUGCAAGCGUUAAUCGGAAUUACUGUGCGUAAAGCGCGCGUAGGUUGAUUGGUCAGUCAGAUGUGAAAGCCCCGGGCUCAACCUGGGAACUGCACCUGAUACUGCCAGUCUAGAAUACGGUAGAGGGUAGUGGAAUUCCGGGUGUAGGAGUGAAAUCCGUAGAUAUCCGGAGGAACACCAGAGGCGAAGCGGCCAACUGGUGGUGCAUUGACACUGAGGUGCGAAAGCGUGGGGAGCAAACAGUAUUGGAUA
RNAcentral lists this ribosomal RNA (278 nucleotides) under uncultured bacterium. Its description in RNAcentral is "partial 16S ribosomal RNA". It matches the Rfam family "Bacterial small subunit ribosomal RNA", at positions 506 to 784 of the family's 1533-position model. The record is from RNAcentral.